UACGAAGGGGGCUAGCGUUGUUCGGAAUUACUGGGCGUAAAGCGUGCGCAGGCGGCCUUCCAAGUCAGGGGUGAAAGCCCAGAGCUCAACUCUGGAAUUGCCUUUGAGACUGUGAGGCUUGAGUACGGGAGAGGUGAGUGGAAUUCCCAGUGUAGAGGUGAAAUUCGUAGAUAUUGGGAAGAACACCUGUGGCGAAGGCGGCUCACUGGACCGCAACUGACGCUGAGGCGCGAAAGCUAGGGGAGCAAACAGG
This 253-nucleotide ribosomal RNA is filed under the name uncultured bacterium. Its description in RNAcentral is "partial 16S ribosomal RNA". It matches the Rfam family "Bacterial small subunit ribosomal RNA", at positions 524 to 776 of the family's 1533-position model. The record is from RNAcentral.